This 66-nucleotide transfer RNA is filed under the name Chouioia cunea. Its description in RNAcentral is "tRNA-Thr". The record is from RNAcentral. Lineage: Eukaryota; Metazoa; Arthropoda; Insecta; Hymenoptera; Eulophidae.
UAACUAUUAGUUUAAAUUAAAACAUUAAUUUUGUAAAUUAAAUAUAUAUAUAUAUUAUAUAGUUAU